This is a small nucleolar RNA of Callithrix jacchus (white-tufted-ear marmoset), 105 nucleotides long. NCBI's taxonomy places the organism in Eukaryota, Metazoa, Chordata, Mammalia, Primates, Cebidae. The record is from Ensembl.
AUCCUUUUGGGGAUCGUAAUCAUGAUGACUGAGUUUUCACGCUAAUAUAAUGAGCUGGGCUUCCUUCAAACCUUGUUAUGAUGUUGGCACAUUAUCCAUCUUACA